UGGUGGAGUGAUUUGUCUGGUUAAUUCCGUUAACGAACGAGACCUCAGCCUGCUAAUUAGAUGUGGCAAUCUUCGGAUUGUUUGCAUCUUCUUAGAGGGACUAUCGGUUAUUAGCCGAUGGAAGUAUGAGGCAAUAACA
This 139-nucleotide ribosomal RNA is filed under the name uncultured eukaryote. Its description in RNAcentral is "partial 18S ribosomal RNA". It matches the Rfam family "Eukaryotic small subunit ribosomal RNA", at positions 1299 to 1458 of the family's 1831-position model. The record is from RNAcentral.